UGGGUGAUCUGCCCUGCACUUCGGGAUAAGCCUGGGAAACUGGGUCUAAUACCGGAUAGGACCAUCGUUUAGUGUCGGUGGUGGAAAGUUUUUCGGUGCAGGAUGAGCCCGCGGCCUAUCAGCUUGUUGGUGGGGUAAUGGCCUACCAAGGCGUCGACGGGUAGCCGGCCUGAGAGGGUGGACGGCCACAUUGGGACUGAGACACGGCCCAGACUCCUACGGGAGGCAGCAGUGGGGAAUAUUGCACAAUGGGCGCAAGCCUGAUGCAGCGACGCCGCGUGGGGGAUGAAGGCCUUCGGGUUGUAAACUCCUUUCAACCAUGACGAAGCUGGUCUUAUUGGGUCAGUGACGGUAGUGGUAGAAGAAGCACCGGCUAACUACGUGCCAGCAGCCGCGGUAAUACGUAGGGUGCGAGCGUUGUCCGGAAUUACUGGGCGUAAAGAGCUCGUAGGUGGUUUGUCGCGUCGUCUGUGAAAUUCCGGGGCUUAACUCCGGGCGUGCAGGCGAUACGGGCAUAACUUGAGUACUGUAGGGGAGACUGGAAUUCCUGGUGUAGCGGUGAAAUGCGCAGAUAUCAGGAGGAACACCGAUGGCGAAGGCAGGUCUCUGGGCAGUUACUGACGCUGAGGAGCGAAAGCAUGGGUAGCGAACAGGAUUAGAUACCCUGGUAGUCCAUGCCGUAAACGGUGGGCGCUAGGUGUGGGGGGUCUUCCACGACUUCCGUGCCGUAGCUAACGCAUUAAGCGCCCCGCCUGGGGGAGUACGGCCGCAAGGCUAAAACUCAAAGGAAUUGACGGGGGGCCCGCACAAGCGGCGGGAGCAUGUGGGAUUAAUUUCGAUGCAAACGCGAAGAAACCUUACCUGGGGCUUGACAUAUGCAGGGAUCGGGCGUAGAAGAUACGUUUUUCCCUUGUGGGUC
Molecule: ribosomal RNA, 919 nt
Filed under: Corynebacterium glyciniphilum
Lineage: Bacteria; Bacillati; Actinomycetota; Actinomycetes; Mycobacteriales; Corynebacteriaceae
Description: bacterial SSU rRNA
Rfam family: Bacterial small subunit ribosomal RNA
Source: RNAcentral